UGACCUCGGAUCAGACGUGAAUACCCGC
RNAcentral lists this ribosomal RNA (28 nucleotides) under Koellikerioides intestinalis. Its description in RNAcentral is "partial 28S large subunit ribosomal RNA". The record is from RNAcentral. RNAcentral also lists the same sequence under 4 other names. Lineage: Eukaryota; Metazoa; Platyhelminthes; Trematoda; Azygiida; Didymozoidae.